ACCACCCCUUAUGGAUAGGUUAGUUAAGGAAAGUUUGAAUUUGAUUUGAAUGAAGUUCCUUAUCUUGAUGAGAUUGGAUCUCAUCCCAACCACCUACACACCAUGCCUUGUAUUCCCUUUCUUUUGUGUGACAAAAAGGAAGAAUUCAUCAUGGAAAAUUAGAUGAGGAUUUGAUUUACUAUGCAAAUAAUUUUGUUGGUGCAUGAAAUGUAGUAAGAGGGUGACACCU
Molecule: long non-coding RNA, 229 nt
Filed under: Elaeis guineensis (African oil palm)
Lineage: Eukaryota; Viridiplantae; Streptophyta; Magnoliopsida; Arecales; Arecaceae
Description: long non-coding RNA (EGUI_LNC070091)
Source: RNAcentral